GACAGAGGGUGCAAACGUUGCUCGGAAUUACUGGGCGUAAAGCGCGUGUAGGCGGGUCGGAAAGUCGGGCGUGAAAUCCCCAGGCUCAACCUGGGAACUGCACUCGAAACUUCCAGCCUAGAGUGGUGGAGAGGGAAGUGGAAUUCCUGGUGUAGAGGUGAAAUUCGUAGAUAUCAGGAGGAACACCAGUGGCGAAGGCGGCUUCCUGGACACCAACUGACGCUGAGACGCGAAAGCGUGGGGAGCAAACAGG
This 253-nucleotide ribosomal RNA is filed under the name uncultured bacterium. RNAcentral's name for it is "partial 16S ribosomal RNA". It matches the Rfam family "Bacterial small subunit ribosomal RNA", at positions 524 to 776 of the family's 1533-position model. The record is from RNAcentral.